CGCGGAUCAGGAGCUUGCUCCUGUGACGCGAGUGGCGGACGGGUGAGUAACACGUAGGCAACCUGCCCAUCAGACCGGGAUAACCACGGGAAACCGUGGCUAAUACCGGAUAAUCCUUUUCUUCAUAGGAAGGAAAGUUGAAAGGCGGUUUCGGCUGUCACUGAUGGAUGGGCCUGCGGCGCAUUAGCUAGUUGGUGGGGUAAGGGCCCACCAAGGCGACGAUGCGUAGCCGACCUGAGAGGGUGAUCGGCCACACUGGGACUGAGACACGGCCCAAACUCCUACGGGAGGCAGCAGUAGGGAAUCUUCCGCAAUGGACGCAAGUCUGACGGAGCAACGCCGCGUGAGUGAAGAAGGGUUUCGGCUCGUAAAACUCUGUUGUCAGGGAAGAACGUCCCCGUGAGUAACUGCACGGGGAGUGACGGUACCUGACCAGAAAGCCACGGCUAACUACGUGCCAGCAGCCGCGGUAAUACGUAGGUGGCAAGCGUUAUCCGGAAUUAUUGGGCGUAAAGCGCGCGUAGGCGGUCUGUUAAGUCUGAUGUGAAAGCCCCCGGCUCAACCGGGGAGGGUCAUUGGAAACUGGCAGACUUGAGUGCAGAAGAGGAGAGUGGAAUUCCAUGUGUAGCGGUGAAAUGCGCAGAGAUAUGGAGGAACACCAGUGGCGAAGGCGGCUCUCUGGUCUGCAACUGACGCUGAGGUGCGAAAGCGUGGGGAUCAAACAGGAUUAGAUACCCUGGAGUCCACGUAAACGAUGAGUGCUAAGUGUUAGGGGGUUUCCCUUAGUGCUGCAGCUAACGCAUUAGCAUCCUGGGGAGUACCCGCAAGGUGAAACUCAAA
Molecule: ribosomal RNA, 840 nt
Filed under: Salinicoccus hispanicus
Lineage: Bacteria; Bacillati; Bacillota; Bacilli; Caryophanales; Staphylococcaceae
Description: bacterial SSU rRNA
Rfam family: Bacterial small subunit ribosomal RNA
Source: RNAcentral